This 253-nucleotide ribosomal RNA is filed under the name uncultured bacterium. RNAcentral describes it as "partial 16S ribosomal RNA". It matches the Rfam family "Bacterial small subunit ribosomal RNA", at positions 524 to 776 of the family's 1533-position model. The record is from RNAcentral.
UACGUAGGGUGCGAGCGUUGUCCGGAAUUAUUGGGCGUAAAGGGCUCGUAGGCGGUUUGUCGCGUCGGGAGUGAAAACCUCGGGCUUAACUCGGGGCUUGCUUUCGAUACGGGCAGACUGGAGGUAUGCAGGGGAGAAUGGAAUUCCUGGUGUAGCGGUGAAAUGCGCAGAUAUCAGGAGGAACACCGGUGGCGAAGGCGGUUCUCUGGGCAUUACCUGACGCUGAGGAGCGAAAGCGUGGGGAGCAAACAGG